Molecule: unclassified non-coding RNA, 466 nt
Filed under: Neocinnamomum mekongense
Lineage: Eukaryota; Viridiplantae; Streptophyta; Magnoliopsida; Laurales; Lauraceae
Description: psbA-trnH intergenic spacer region
Source: RNAcentral
GCUGCUGUCGUAGUUCCAUCUACAAAUGGAUAAUACUUUGGUUUUAGUGUAUACAAGUCUUUGAAGGAUCAAUACCAAACUUCUUGUUCUAUCAAGAAGUUUGGUAUGAAUCUGUUUAAUUCAGUAGUGUUUUAUUUACAUAAACAUUUUUCAUUUUCAUUUCUUUUAUUCAACUUAAGAAAAGAAAUGAAAAUGGCUGGUUAUUUCAUGAUCGAAUGUCGUAGGUUCUUUUGUACCAAUCUGUAAUUUAUGUAUUACCGUUGUUCAAAAUUGUUUUCUUUUUUCCUAAAAUCAUUUGAUCCUUUUAAAGGAUUGACAUUUUAUGUACAAUAUCUGUAUUUCAGUAGGAAGGAAAGUGAGGUAAUGAAUACUAAAGUCAAAAAUUUUGACUAUUCAAAAUUGAAUCCUUUUGAGAGAUAGGAGGGGCGGAUGUAGCCAAGUGGAUCAAGGCAGUGGAUUUGUGAAU